AGUGAACGCUGGCGGCGUGCUUAACACAUGCAAGUCGAACGAGUAAGUGCUGUAGCAAUACAGAUUACUGCUAGUGGCAGACGGGUGAGUAAUACAUGGGAAUCUACCUCGAAGUCUGGGAUAACUGUUGGAAACGACAGCUAAUACCGGAUAUUGCCGAGAGGUGUAAAGUUUUUCGCUUCGAGAUGAGCCCAUGCAAGAUUAGCUAGUUGGUAGGGUAAUGGCCUACCAAGGCGAAGAUCUUUAGCUGGUCUAAGAGGAUGAUCAGCCACACUGGAACUGAGACACGGUCCAGACUCC
Molecule: ribosomal RNA, 300 nt
Filed under: uncultured bacterium
Lineage: Bacteria
Description: bacterial SSU rRNA
Rfam family: Bacterial small subunit ribosomal RNA
Source: RNAcentral